CGAACGGGUGAGUAACGCGUGAGGAGCCUGCCUCAAAGAGGGGGACAACAGUUGGAAACGACUGCUAAUACCGCAUAAGCCCACGGCUCGGCAUCGAGCAGAGGGAAAAGGAGCAAUCCGCUUUGAGGUGGCCUCGCGUCCGAUUAGCUAGUUGGUGAGGUAACGGCCCACCAAGGCGACGAUCGGUAGCCGGACUGGGAGGUUGAACGGCCACAUUGGGACUGAGACACGGCCCAG
This 237-nucleotide ribosomal RNA is filed under the name uncultured bacterium. RNAcentral's name for it is "partial 16S ribosomal RNA". It matches the Rfam family "Bacterial small subunit ribosomal RNA", at positions 99 to 334 of the family's 1533-position model. The record is from RNAcentral.